Diceros bicornis minor is the source of this 7916-nucleotide long non-coding RNA. RefSeq lists it as uncharacterized. The record is from RefSeq and is a predicted model, not a curated record. Lineage: Eukaryota; Metazoa; Chordata; Mammalia; Perissodactyla; Rhinocerotidae. The transcript has 7 exons.
GCGUGGGUCUGCAGGGCGUGCGGCUGCUCUGCAGUCUCUGUCACAGCAAUGGGCGGAGGUGUGGCAGGGCCUGGUCUGGGUGGGAACGGAGCUGGGGCAGGAGCAGCGGCCCCGCAGCUGGGCGGGGCAGGCGCUGUGGCUGGGCGCGGGCCCCCCGCCGCCCCCCGGCGCGGAAGCACGCGCGUGCGUCACGACGCCUCGGCCGGGAGCGAGCGUGGCGCGGGGGCGGGAAUGGGGGCGGCGCCUGCGCGCGGGGCGCUUUCUCCUGCGCCUCCGUCCUCGGCUAGCUUAGUAGCCGCCCCUGGACCCGGGCCGUGGAAAAGCGAGGGCAGCCGCUGGCCCCGACGCCGCCCCCCCCGGAGAGAAUUCCGGGAGCCCGAGGCCUCCGGGCCGGCCCCGCGCGGAGGGCUCUGUUGCAGUGCCGGAGGAAGGUUGUGCCAUCAGGUCGUCGCGUACUUCUCGCCGCAUCUCUCGCCGCGGCAGGACCUUCCUCGCCUGUGAAAAGAGGAGGAAAAGGCUGAGAGUACGCCUAAAAUGAGUGCCGCGCUCCCAGGACAGCCUUUCGCUGUACGUGCGUUGUGCGAAGCACUUGACCGGUAUUAAUACCCGCAGUCAGGACCGCGGGGCCGCCCCCCGAGCGGCAGAGAGGUUUACCCCGGGUUACGCGACUAGAAGGCGGUGGAGGCUGGAGGGGAGGGCCUCCCAGGCGCGGGCGGGCCACCGCAUCUGCAGCACUACCUGGUACUGCCACUGUCAUGCCACCUGACACCUGUCUCCUCUGAAGAACUCUCUCCACUCCUUCAAACGCUGCAGUACCAAGUUCCAAAAUUGCCCUGGUUGCUUUUUUCUAAGUAUAUUGGUCCAAUUUGUUCUUGAUUUCAAGCUGAAUCCGAGAGGAGCUACUACUAAUUUUUGGAGUUCAAGUGUCAUCCGUUUAAUGACAUGUUUUGGAAUCUUACCAGGACUGUAGACAGAUUUGCAGCCUCUGUUUUCCCGCCUUUUUGAAAACUGGAACCUAGGCUCCAGUCUUCUGACAUAGCAUUUAUCCACGUGGCUUCUCCAGAUUCCUAGCUGUGACCAACUUGCAUGUUUUCAGUACUGGGAAUGUAAUCGUUGCUGGGUUAGGAGUCUUGAAAUGAUUUUUUUAUUUAGAAAGAUGUGAUCAUAAUAUUGGGAACAUCCUUAAAACGAAAUUUAUAUUGCUACUACACUAAAAUAUAACAGGUCUACAAGCCUCAUUUCUUCUGGUAGCAGAAAAACUAAAUCUAGUUAAAUCAAGGAGUCAACACCAGCUAGGCCAGAAGUCUGGUCUUGCUGCACGUGCUCUGCCUUCGACUAAACGCUUGGGAGUAGACUAGAGAUUUUUGUAUCAGUUACUCCACCUGGAGGACCAGCAGGCAGAGUCUCAUUGACCAUCAUUUGGAUUGAGUGUGGCCAAGAGGGAUUGAACACCUGGAGAACAUGGCCGAGGUGCUGUUUACAGUAGGUGUGUGAUCACUGUUUUUCACCUUAUUUGGGGACAAAGGUGUGGUCCAGGCGUGCCCCUCCUACCCCUGAACCAACACUAGACUCCUUCAGAAUCAUGGAAGAAAGUUAAGUUAAAGGAAGUCCAGCAAGCCCAGCAAACGCUCAUUAGGUGUCGUCUGGAAACUGGUCAAGGCAAAUUUUUUUAAAAAGGGGGCCACCGGUUUCUGGGAGUUAAUAACCCACCCUUGCUGCACCUCUCCCUCCAAGUUGUCUCACUGCUGUGUGGCAGUCACCUCUGAUCCGUUCCUAGUAACUGUUAAAGGACUGACAUUUUCAGAUGAUUGACUUCUAAAUAAAUCAGACCCAUUUGAAGUCAUGUCUGGAAGAAUAUCAAGCUUACUUGCUUGCAUUCUGACAGUGCCUUCUUGAGUGGGUGAAAAACAACUGGAAUUUCAGCAGAGAAUUGGGUGUGAUGUGUCAAAUGGAUCAGAUUACUCAGCUGCAACCCAAAGUGAGGAGAAUAUUCCAAGAAAAAAUUUCGAUUUACUUUUUUUCUAGGCUUUGUCAGUACUUGGAACACCAUGCGCACUUCGUUCCAGGGACGAGGUCAGGGGCGGUGGGUCCAAGGGACCCGAAGACUCCAGAUUGACCUUGCCUCCCUCAGCCUAGGACGCCCCCUCUUCUUGCUCCGCCCACUGAAGUCCUCGGGAGUCUUUUGCCAGCUCCCGUGCACUCCUUCCUUGAAACCUCAGUAGCUGUCAGCACUGAUUCUUCUUUGCCUUGUAUUGGGAUUCAUCACGGUCCAGCUACCCUAGUCUGCUCCUCUCCGUGUCCCUCAGUCCACCCCAUCCCCAGCAGUAUCUUGAGAGACUCGAGUGGAGUGUGAACAGCUACAGGAUCUAGUAGACAUGAGCAGCCACCAAGGAAACCAAAGUUUCGGUGAAGCACUUUGGACAUCCUCCAGAGUGCUGUGAAAUCAAAAUUAAGAAAGAGAUGUGGAGCCCCUGUCCUUGCGCUGCUCACAUCCUGUUGGAGAAACAGACAUGUCAACACCCUCACAACGCAGCCCAGGCCAUGGAGGGAGGCCCUGCAAGGCCCAGGAGCUCAGAACCCCACUGAAGCUGUGACCAGGAGGUUUCUAUUAUCAUCAUUCCUCCCACUUCCAACCUGCCCUUCAUUCUCAAGAUGCCGCCAGACAGAGGUACUCCCAGUCUCCUCUCACCAUUCUAGCUGGCCCCAGGUCAGCUGAUCCCCAGUGGCUCUACUCAUGACUGAGUCUCAGGAAAGCGUGCCCCCUUACAUUAUAUUCACACUAACUAAGCUGGCUAGGCAACACUCUGGGCUCCCAAAGGAUGAACCUCCACAGGUCAAGUUGUCUCUGCUCCACCCAGGGAGAGGCCCCUCUCAUACCCACAGGAUGUUUGUAGUACACCAAUGUGCGUUCUUCCCUUUUCAAUAGUAGAACUCCUCAGUCAGGCUGUGCUCCUGGCCACUGCGUUAGGUUUCUGCUGCAUUAGUGAUGCAUAGCAAGCAAGCCCAAAAUCUCAGUGGCUUACCAAAAAAAGCCAUUUACUUUUCUUGCAGGUCAGCAGAGGCAGCUCUCCUUCAGGCUAGGGAAGCGAUUUAGGGCUGCUCCACUUGUCUCUCAUCCUCUGGACCAAUGGCUACCUGGGUAGGCUCUUCUCAUGGAGGUGCCAGUGGGGCUGCUUAAGGCCUUGUCUCAGAACCGACACACUGUCAGAUCUGCCCACAUGCCACUGGCCAAAGGCCAACAUUGAUGGGGUGAAGAAGUCCUCUGCACGUUUGUGAACACCUUGGAUGGUGAACAGCCAAGGGCAGGGAGGGAAGGACGAAUUGCAGGCAGAUAAUACAAUUGACCUUAGCCUCCCUUGCAGCUUGGUGUGUCCUUGCAACUAAGUUCUGGCCAAUGGGAUGUGAGGGGAAGCAAUGUGUGCAACCUCCAGGCCUUGCCCUUGUAAGGACUGGGUGUGCCCUGCCUUUCAUUUCCCCAUCAGCUGGGAACACGGUGGGACUGCAGCAGUUACCUGGCCCAGAGGUGGAUGGCAUAGCUGUCCCACCAGUCCUACCUCUGGACGUUUGUCAUUUACACUGCUGGAUUUUUGCAUCUUUGUUAUGGCAUCUUAGAACCCUAGCUAGUACACCAUUCAUUCAUUCAGCAGGUAUUUACUGUCUUCUUUGUGUGGGGCACUGCACUAGGCCUUGGAGGAAGUGACAGUGAGCAAAAAAAGUUGGCCUCUCUGUGUCUUGACUGUGGUGGUGGUUAUACAAACCUACACAUGUGAUAAAAUUGUAUAGAACUAAAUUACACACACACGAGUACAAGUAAAACUGGGGAAAUCUGUACAAGAUCUUUGGGUUGUACCAAUAGUAACAUCCUAGUUGUUAUGUCAUAUCAUAGUUUUGCAAGAUGUUAUUCUUGAGAGGAAACUGGGUAAAGGAUCUCUGUAUUCUUACAACUGCAUGUGAAUCUAAAUGAUCUCAAAUAAGAAGUUAAAAAAACUUGGACCCCUGGUCUUUUUGUGCUCACAGUAUAGAAUGGUGUCAAAAGAAAUACCAGAGAGCUUUACAUAAUAUGAAUAUUUUAUUGAGCGAGAAACACACUAUUUGUGAACAGGGAGACUUGCAACCAAAAGUGGUUAUAGCUCAGCUUUCAGCAGUUACAUCUCAGUUUAUAAAGUGUGAAUGAGGAAAUACAUUGUUUUCUAUCAUGAUUGGUUACUCCAAACUACAUUCUUUUUAGGGUUAAAGCACUACAUAAGCUUACUUGUGUGUAGCUGAUUAGUUAGGAAGCUGUAAGGUUGAACUGACAGGAAGAAAGCUUAAGUUUUGUUUAAGGUCAGAGUCAGCAUUUUAGGGAAAUCAGAGCAGUUUCAAGUUUUGAUUACGUAUCUAAGAGUGUUUGGUCUAGGGGUAUAUUCAAACUGUGACUUCCACUUUGUUUUUUCUUCAUCAAUGGGAAUCAGAAGAUUAAAAAAUAAAAAAAUCACUGAUGACAACCUCGGCAUGGCAGCAGCCCAGCUCCAACCAUCCAGAUGACAACAAUGCCCUGAAGUCUGCAGAGCAGUUACGUCAAAGGAACUGAGGGUAGAGCUGCCAGGCAGGAAUGCCUGCUUUGGACUGUGACGUGAGAGAGAUAUAAAGUUCUUUGUUCUUUAAGUAGGGUGUCCAUAUAAUUUAUCAUCCAAAUUGAGACACCUGUGAAAAUAAUUAUACUGAGAUUGCUUGUGUAAACAGAUCAUUUGGCCACUCUAUUUUUUUUUUUUUGGUGAGAAAGAUUGGCCCUGAGCUAACAUCUAUUGCCAAUCCUCCUCUUUUUGCUUGAGGAAGAUUUGCCCUGAGCUAACAUCUGUGCCAGUCUUCCUCUAUUUUGUAUGUGGGACACCGCCACAGCAUGGAGCAGUGUGUAGGUCCACACCCGGGAUCCAAACCCACGAACCCUGGGCCGCCAAAGCAGAGCACGUGAACUUAACCACUACACCACUGGGCCAGCCCCUGGCCACUCUAUUUUUAAGCCAUUGUAUUGUUGAGUCUCUGUCAUAGCAGCCUAGCCUCUUCUAACUGAUACAGAAACUAAUGGAUGCUGCCUUCAUCAGGACAGAAGAGCCUAGAGGAGGGAACAAGUAAAUCCAAAUUACAGCAAGUUAAUGGGCUUAAAGUUUUAUCUUUUGCUCAUGCAAAGUCUAAUAUGGUGCUGGUGGCCCUCCUCCAUCUUCUAGUCAGCUCAUUUUGAAUAUGAACUUCCCAGGUUGCUGGAACAGUGGAAGAGAGAGCUGGAGGAUUCCAGAAGAUUUUAUGGGCCAAGCCAGGAAGUAGCUCACAUCACAACACUCACAUUUCAUUGCCCAGAACUUAGUCACAUGAUCACCCCUAACUGCAAAGGAGACUGGGAAAAGUAGUCCUCCUUUAAACCCCCUAAACCCAGGAAGAGGACUCUGCCGCAGAUGCAUAAUUACAGACUGGGAAAGGACACCACUCUGGCCUCAGCCUCUUCAGAUUGGCUCACUUAGAGUACGUGUGGCUGUGCCCUUCACAGAGAAACCCCUGAAGGUUACAGGAAAGCAGUUCAGAACAGCCUAUAGCAGUGAAUCAGAGAGAGAGAGAGAGAGGGAGAGAGAGAUUUAUUUUAAGGAGCUGGCUCAUGCAGUUCGAGAGGCUGGCAAGUCCAAAACCUGUAGGGUGCACCAGCAGGCUGGAGAUCCAAGGAAGAGCACUGAUGCUGCAGUUCAAGUGCAAAAGCUGACUACUGGCAGAAUUCCUUCUUACUCAGGGGAGGUCAGUCUUUCUGUUCAAUGCCUGCCUUCAACUGAUUGGAUGAGGCCCACCCACAUUAGGGAGGGCAAUCUGCUUUACUCAAAGUUCAUCAAUUUAAAUGUUAAUCUCAUCCAAAAACACCCUCACAGAAACAUCCAGAAUGAUGUUUGGCCAUAUAUCUGGACACCAUGACCCAACCAAGUUGACAUAAAAUUAACCAUCACGUUCUCCAAGGCCAGUUUUUAACACUUUAUAUUUCUUGUUUAAAGUGGAAGGCAGGGUGGUAUGGGGGAAAAACGGUCAAGGCUGGGUUCAAAUCCCAAAUCUUACUCCUCUGUAUUCCAGUUUCCUCAUUUGUAAAAUGGGAGAAUGUUGACCGUAAUUCUCCAAAGAUUAGAGCUCAUGUAUGUGAGACACUUAGACCUAUGCCUGACUCUUAAAUGCUGGCAGUUAUUAAGUUUACAAUUUGAAAGGAAGGUCCACUGAACACUUCACAUUUCUUUCGUUUUAUAGCUGCUUUUUAUUUGUAGAUUACCCUUGACUUUUUCUGUUUUCCCUCUGCAGUUUAGCAGUGUCUCAAUAGGAAGACAGUUCCCUGCCACAGUGUUUAGCUCUCACGUGAUUUUGCCAUCUCCUGGUACUUGAGUUGUCAGCAGUCAGCUGUGUCCUAGAUGCUUUGCCUUCCUACUUUUCCGUGAGCCAUCAUUGAUGAGCCAUGGAAUGUUACAUGUUUGAACAACUUAUUUAGACACUCCAGAGAAAAUGCAAAGGGAAAGAGGAGUGAGAAGGAGUGGUAAGAAUAAAGGAAAGGUGGGAGGUGGCAGGAAAUGAUACAAGGAGAAAAGGGAACAGAAAUCAGAUUUGCUAAUUUGCUUUGUGUUGCUACAUCAGUUUAUAAAUUAGUGUCUACAUUUAUGACUGUUUGGAUGAACCAACUUUUCUGAUCCUCUCGUCCAACAAAGCUACAGAUUUCUUUAUUGGGGUAGAGCUGAAGAAGCUUUAAAAGUGGGCCAAAGCCCCAGGGGAACAUGUGUUAUAAGAGUGAAAUGGUCUGCUAUAAACUGACACUGCUGAAGGCUUGGAGUGCAUAAUAUAGAGGUUAGCAAACUGUGCUUCUUUCAGCCUUGGUUUUCUAGUUAGGCAACUGGCUAAGCCACUGACCCAAACACACUUGUCUUUAACAAGAUGGGCCUCCGUUUCUCUUUCAGGUAGCAGUACAGAUGGUGGGCAGGUGGGUGGUCCAGAGCAAUAAUUGCACUGCUCCAUGGGGUCACCUGAGCACCGAAGCUGGCAUGUUGGCUUUACCAUCGUUGAUACAUGGUAUCCACUUGUGGGUCCAAGAUGCCACUCCAGUUGUCCCCUUUCCCAGCCAGGUGGGGGGGCAGCAGAAGCAGAGGGCCAAGAGCUUUCUUUUUAAAGACAUCACCUGAGAGUUGCCCUUUUACUUCUGCUCACAACCCACUAGCCAGAAGCUUGAAGGGAAGCUGGGCGUGUGCCCAGCCAAAACUCAGCAGGGAGGGGUCCAAUUACUAAAUGGAAGAAGGCAAGACUUGGAGUCUGGGAGUGGUUGGUAGUCUCUGCCGUAUCUAGUUCUUUGGAGGUGAUUCACAUCCCUCAAGAAAGUCUGUGAGACCCAGUGGGCAACACCCCAAUUCCCCACUCUACUUGAGAAGCUCCACUUUCAUCUAUUUUGGGGUUCUCUCUAAAUUUCUGUCUGAAAAAUAAGUUUAAUUGCAUUAAAAAAAAGUUUGAAGACCAUUUUAGGGAAGAUUAGUUUGCCAAGGUGGAAAGAAAAGCUCAAAUUAGUGACUUAGCCAAAAGCACUCAUUGUACUUCAAAGCUGUACCUGAAGCCCCUGGCCACAGCCGUUCUGACUCGGAGCUGAGGUGAGGCUGGUGGUGCUGUCAGGCCCCACCUCCUCACAAAUGAAGCUCAGGUGCUUUCCCACCCUCUCCCCACCCAACUCCUCUUCCACACGCAUUCUAAACAGCUCUCGAUCUCAGGAGAAGAUAAGAAUCCCAAAGUUGAAAACUCCCAUCUUGCUUUCAGAGUGCAGUCACGGGGUGGUCCCCAUGAACUGUCUUCACAAUGGAUGUGCUACAUCUUCACUCUCCACCAGACUCCCCUGAAGACAAUUUCUGGUCAGUGUUAUAUGACUCCAGCAAAGUGUGCUACCU